This is a long non-coding RNA of Phyllostomus discolor (pale spear-nosed bat), 1214 nucleotides long. RefSeq lists it as uncharacterized. The record is from RefSeq and is a predicted model, not a curated record. Lineage: Eukaryota; Metazoa; Chordata; Mammalia; Chiroptera; Phyllostomidae. The transcript has 2 exons.
GAAAGAAAAAAGUAAAAAGAAAGAAAGAGAAAGGUAACACAACGCAAUGGACGCUGUUUCUUAUUUCUUAGUCCAGCAGACAUGAAUUCGUGAGGAAGAGGCCGGGACUUUUCCCUCUCAUCUUAUCUGACCCAGAAUCAGCGAGCCACAAGCCUGAGCCGACCUGGGCCUCAUGGACUCCUGGCCACCCCACACCUUUCUUUAUUCCACACCCUCUGUCCAGACUUUCAGUGGAGACAGAGGAAGAAGAGAGAGGGAGGCAGAGACGCACACACACACAGAAAGCGAGAAUGUUUGGAAUGGAGAGCGGUUUUCCUAAGGGCUGCUUUUGCUGGCGCCCAGGCCUCAGUUCAUUUCAUUUCCAAGCCAAAUAUUACAAAUCCUCGGGCGGCCCGGCAGGGAGGAGCGGCCUUUCCGAUGCGGCAACCUGCCUGCGCCUUUCCCUGCGGUGCCCUCCUUCUCUGCUCUUUCUGCAAAAGGAAAACUUGGGGCCCUGGGAAGGAGUGGGAGCCAGCCACAGCCCAGGGCGUCCCAAGAGGUGCUCUGGCGUAGGUUUCGGCCCCGGGUGGGGGGGCAUCGCCUGCCGCCGUCCCCCUUACCCGGGUUCCAAAUACGGAAGCUGGACGCGCCUCUGAGCGGCUCCAGGCCUCGCCCCGCGCGGAACCCGAGAGGAGGCUCGCUACCUCGGGUUACCCUGCAGUCCGGGGGGGCUGGACCGAGGCUGGGGCUCCGGUACUGCACCCAACGCCGCACCAGCCCGCGGGGGAGCCAAGAGCUCUCGGACAGGCUGGCCUGCCCCGGCCCUCAGUCGCCGCAAGGUCCCUCCAGGCCCGGGAAGCCGCGAUCGGCGCGCAGUGGCUCCCUGCGCGAGUUACCUGCCUUCCUUCGGCAGCUACCGGGGCGGGGCGAGGCGGGCUCCCGGAUGGGAAUGAAGAAAGCGCGGCCGGCCGGCUCCCUUCGAGAACGAAAACUACGGUUGCAGGGCGUCAGGAGCUCCUUACCUAUCCUCUCCCCGCCCAGUGUCCGAUCCUCCGCAGCAGUAACUGCCGCCUCCCCCUCCACCCCGGUUGCAAAGGCCAACUCCGGGAUGGAUAGUCAAGAUCUUAAUUAGGAAGGGUGGGUGGAGGUGACGAAAAACACAAGAGAAAUGUAAGCACUCUCUCUGCCUCUUAAAGUGACUGAAAAACAAUCGGAGGCAAACAGCCUCCUGGGAG